RNAcentral lists this ribosomal RNA (253 nucleotides) under uncultured bacterium. RNAcentral describes it as "partial 16S ribosomal RNA". It matches the Rfam family "Bacterial small subunit ribosomal RNA", at positions 524 to 776 of the family's 1533-position model. The record is from RNAcentral.
UACGGGGGGGGCAAGCGUUGUUCGGAAUUACUGGGCGUAAAGGGCUCGUAGGCGGCCAACUAAGUCAGACGUGAAAUCCCUCGGCUUAACCGGGGAACUGCGUCUGAUACUGGAUGGCUUGAGUUUGGGAGAGGGAUGCGGAAUUCCAGGUGUAGCGGUGAAAUGCGUAGAUAUCAGGAGGAACACCCAUGGCGAAGGCAGCUUCCUGGCCCAAUUCUGACGCUGAGGUGCGAAAGCGUGGGUAGCGAACGGG